Molecule: long non-coding RNA, 435 nt
Organism: Teleopsis dalmanni
Lineage: Eukaryota; Metazoa; Arthropoda; Insecta; Diptera; Diopsidae
Exons: 3
Source: RefSeq, a predicted model, not a curated record
ACAAAGCCUUGCACUUGGGGAACAAUACUACUUCAAAAGAAUGUAAAUCAUUAUUUGAGGAACUACAAGCAGAGAUUGAAAGCCUUAAACGUGCACAAUUCCUUCUGAAUGAAACAAAUUAAAUGACCAUGAAUAUAUAAAGGAAUCGAAUUAAUAAGGAACAGAGCUAGAAUCUAACAAUCAUAAAAUAAAAUAAAUUAAAAGGAGAAUAUAAAGAUGUAAAUUCAGAAAUUCGUAAAGUUGUUUAUAUGAUGUUCGGCUAUAGAGUGGAUCAUAUUGGAAAUAAUGGAUAUUGUAGAGUUUCCAGCAUGUAUGCGGAGAGUCCAAAUGACUAUAUAAAUGAUUACUUGUAUUUGAUGAUAAAAGUAAUUUAAAAUAAUUAGAGACUCCUUUAAACUAACUUUAAAAGAUUUUAUUGAUACACUUUAAAUUGAC